CAUCCUUCUCCCUGAUUUAUCAACCUCUUUGCCUUUUCUUAAAUCCCUCUGUUUCUGUUUUGUCGUUUACGGAUGAGCUUAUUUCUGCCUCGGCUCCGUGGGGCAGGGGCCUGCAUGUCCCGUUCGCCGCGAGCGGCCCCGGCUGCACAGCAGACAUCAGGAAACCCGAGUUUCAUGACUGAAUGAAUGAGCUGGGUGGACUUCUCUCGGCUUCUAGAAAUGGAUCCUGUGUGUCCCCAGGGCUGCGAAGCAGCAGACCUCAGCCCGCGGUCAGAUGGAAAAUCCCGCAUCAGAGCGCCACGCACAGCAUCAGGUGGCGCGCGCAGGACGAUGCAUUUUAAAAGAUUUCACCACUUUUAAAAAUGUGGAAACCCUC
RNAcentral lists this long non-coding RNA (376 nucleotides) under Canis lupus dingo (dingo). Its description in RNAcentral is "lncRNA (ENSCAFG00020021946.1)". Lineage: Eukaryota; Metazoa; Chordata; Mammalia; Carnivora; Canidae. The record is from RNAcentral.